This 261-nucleotide ribosomal RNA is filed under the name uncultured prokaryote. RNAcentral describes it as "partial 16S ribosomal RNA". It matches the Rfam family "Bacterial small subunit ribosomal RNA", at positions 524 to 784 of the family's 1533-position model. The record is from RNAcentral.
UACAUAGGUGGCGAGCGUUGUCCGGAUUUACUGGGCGUAAAGGGAGCGUAGGCGGACUUUUAAGUGAGAUGUGAAAUACCCGGGCUCAACUUGGGUGCUGCAUUUCAAACUGGAAGUCUAGAGUGCAGGAGAGGAGAAUGGAACUCCUAGUGUAGCGGUGAAAUGCGUAGAGAUUAGGAAGAACACCAGUGGCGAAGGCGAUUCUCUGGACUGUAACUGACGCUGAGGCUCGAAAGCGUGGGGAGCAAACAGGAUUAGAUA